Molecule: ribosomal RNA, 253 nt
Filed under: uncultured bacterium
Lineage: Bacteria
Description: partial 16S ribosomal RNA
Rfam family: Bacterial small subunit ribosomal RNA
Source: RNAcentral
UACGAAGGGUGCAAACGUUGCUCGGAAUUACUGGGCGUAAAGGGCUCGUAGGCGGCCAACUAAGUCGGAUGUGAAAUCCCCAGGCUUAACCUGGGAACUGCAUCCGAUACUGGAUGGCUUGAAUUCGGGAGAGGGAUGCAGAAUUCCAGGUGUAGCGGUGAAAUGCGUAGAUAUCUGGAGGAAUACCGGUGGCGAAGGCGGCAUCCUGGACCGAGAUUGACGCUGAUGAGCGAAAGCUAGGGGAGCAAACGGG